GCCCAGGUGGCGAAAUUGGUAGACGCACUACGUUCAGGUCGUAGCGGGAGCAAUCCCAUGGAAGUUCAAGUCUUCUCCUGGGCA
RNAcentral lists this transfer RNA (84 nucleotides) under Minisyncoccota bacterium. Its description in RNAcentral is "tRNA-Leu". It matches the Rfam family "tRNA". Rfam says of the family: Transfer RNA (tRNA) molecules are approximately 80 nucleotides in length. Lineage: Bacteria; Bacillati; Minisyncoccota. The record is from RNAcentral.